AAGAAACUGCAGAGAAGGUAGUGUUGAGCACCUAGAGUAAGACAGGCCCCAGCGGGCGCCCACCUGUGUUCAUCAACCCUCUGGAUCCAUCCAGCCCCACGAGUGGCUUCAUCACGUACACCUCAGCCCCAUUCCGGGCACAGAGUAGACCAGUUGGAGAUUCAGUGCCAAGAUAACCAGUAGUGCAGCCAUGAAGUGCAACUUUGCUCUGCUGUGGCCUUCUGUGUGGCGUUUUGCCUUACAUCAGCACCAAAGCAGUGGAAUCAGCCAACCAUGAACUGAAACCAUGAGCCCAGAUGAAUCGUUCCUUGUCUGUCUUGAUUCAGCUGCCAUGAUUGGAAACAUCAGACCCUAAGAAGAGUGAAAAGGGUUGGUACCCAAGUUCCUGGAUGAUCUUUACCUGUGCUGAGAAAAGAUGGGAAUAUUCCUCCCCUUUAUUAGCCUAUGGCUCUCCUUCAUUAUUCCUGUCCUGUGUCUCUAACUCCUCAACCCCUCUGGGCUUGAGAAGUUGAUUUGCAACUAAAGCUCCCAGUUCUCCCUUCUUUGUCCAUUGAAUAAAACCUUUCUUUCUCC
RNAcentral lists this long non-coding RNA (573 nucleotides) under Heterocephalus glaber (naked mole-rat). Its description in RNAcentral is "lncRNA (ENSHGLG00100044086.1)". The record is from RNAcentral. Lineage: Eukaryota; Metazoa; Chordata; Mammalia; Rodentia; Bathyergidae.